AAAUUGAAGAGUUUGAUCAUGGCUCAGAUUGAACGCUGGCGGCAGGCCUAACACAUGCAAGUCGAACGGUAACAGGAAGAAGCUUGCUUCUUUGCUGACGAGUGGCGGACGGGUGAGUAAUGUCUGGGAAACUGCCUGAUGGAGGGGGAUAACUACUGGAAACGGUAGCUAAUACCGCAUAACGUCGCAAGACCAAAGAGGGGGACCUUCGGGCCUCUUGCCAUCAGAUGUGCCCAGAUGGGAUUAGCUAGUAGGUGGGGUAACGGCUCACCUAGGCGACGAUCCCUAGCUGGUCUGAGAGGAUGACCAGCCACACUGGAACUGAGACACGGUCCAGACUCCUACGGGAGGCAGCAGUGGGGAAUAUUGCACAAUGGGCGCAAGCCUGAUGCAGCCAUGCCGCGUGUAUGAAGAAGGCCUUCGGGUUGUAAAGUACUUUCAGCGGGGAGGAAGGGAGUAAAGUUAAUACCUUUGCUCAUUGACGUUACCCGCAGAAGAAGCACCGGCUAACUCCGUGCCAGCAGCCGCGGUAAUACGGAGGGUGCAAGCGUUAAUCGGAAUUACUGGGCGUAAAGCGCACGCAGGCGGUUUGUUAAGUCAGAUGUGAAAUCCCCGGGCUCAACCUGGGAACUGCAUCUGAUACUGGCAAGCUUGAGUCUCGUAGAGGGGGGGUAGAAUUCCAGGUGUAGCGGUGAAAUGCGUAGAGAUCUGGAGGAAUACCGGUGGCGAAGGCGGCCCCCUGGACGAAGACUGACGCUCAGGUGCGAAAGCGUGGGGAGCAAACAGGAUUAGAUACCCUGGUAGUCCACGCCGUAAACGAUGUCGACUUGGAGGUUGUGCCCUUGAGGCGUGGCUUCCGGAGCUAACGCGUUAAGUCGACCGCCUGGGGAGUACGGCCGCAAGGUUAAAACUCAAAUGAAUUGACGGGGGCCCGCACAAGCGGUGGAGCAUGUGGUUUAAUUCGAUGCAACGCGAAGAACCUUACCUGGUCUUGACAUCCACGGAAGUUUUCAGAGAUGAGAAUAUGCCUUCGGGAACCGUGAGACAGGUGCUGCAUGGCUGUCGUCAGCUCGUGUUGUGAAAUGUUGGGUUAAGUCCCGCAACGAGCGCAACCCUUAUCCUUUGUUGCCAGCGGUCCGGCCGGGAACUCAAAGGAGACUGCCAGUGAUAAACUGGAGGAAGGUGGGGAUGACGUCAAGUCAUCAUGGCCCUUACGACCAGGGCUACACACGUGCUACAAUGGCGCAUACAAAGAGAAGCGACCUCGCGAGAGCAAGCGGACCUCAUAAAGUGCGUCGUAGUCCGGAUUGGAGUCUGCAACUCGACUCCAUGAAGUCGGAAUCGCUAGUAAUCGUGGAUCAGAAUGCCACGGUGAAUACGUUCCCGGGCCUUGUACACACCGCCCGUCACACCAUGGGAGUGGGUUGCAAAAGAAGUAGGUAGCUUAACCUUCGGGAGGGCGCUUACCACUUUGUGAUUCAUGACUGGGGUGAAGUCGUAACAAGGUAACCGUAGGGGAACCUGCGGUUGGAUCACCUCCUUA
This 1543-nucleotide ribosomal RNA is filed under the name Escherichia coli. RNAcentral describes it as "bacterial SSU rRNA". It matches the Rfam family "Bacterial small subunit ribosomal RNA". The record is from RNAcentral. Lineage: Bacteria; Pseudomonadati; Pseudomonadota; Gammaproteobacteria; Enterobacterales; Enterobacteriaceae.